Molecule: ribosomal RNA, 2873 nt
Filed under: Lactiplantibacillus plantarum
Lineage: Bacteria; Bacillati; Bacillota; Bacilli; Lactobacillales; Lactobacillaceae
Description: bacterial LSU rRNA
Source: RNAcentral
UUAAGUUAACAAGGGCGCAUGGUGAAUGCCUUGGCACUAGGAGCCGAUGAAGGACGGGACUAACACCGAUAUGCUUCGGGGAGCUGUACGUAAGCUAUGAUCCGGAGAUUUCCGAAUGGGGCAACCCAGCAGUUUUAAUCAACUGUUACCACUAGAUGAAUUCAUAGUCUAGUUGGAGGUAAACGCUGUGAACUGAAACAUCUCAUUAGCAGCAGGAAUAUAAAGAAAUUUCGAUUCCCUAAGUAGCGGCGAGCGAACGGGGAAYAGCCCAAACCAAAGUGCUUGCACUUUGGGGUUGUAGGACUGAACAUUUGRGUUACCAAAGAACUUGAUAGUCGAAGGAUUUGGRAAAAUCCGCCAUAGAUGGUGAUAGCCCAGUAGAUUAAAUCAAAUUCUCUCAGUUCAGGAUCCUGAGUACGGCGGAACACGUGAAAUUCCGUCGGAAUCCGGGAGGACCAUCUCCCAAGGCUAAAUACUACCUAGUGACCGAUAGUGAACCAGUACCGUGAGGGAAAGGUGAAAAGCACCCCGGGAGGGGAGUGAAAUAGUUCCUGAAACCAUGUGCCUACAAUAAGUCAGAGCGCGUUAAUGCGUGAUGGCGUGCCUUUUGUAGAAUGAACCGGCGAGUUAUGAUCCCGUGCAAGGUUAAGACUAAAAAGUCGGAGCCGUAGCGAAAGCGAGUCUGAAAUGGGCGUUUUGAGUACGAGGUUAUAGACCCGAAACCAGGUGACCUAUCCAUGUCCAGGUUGAAGGUGCGGUAAAACGCACUGGAGGACCGAACCCGUGUAAGUUGAAAAUUGCUGGGAUGAGGUGUGGAUAGCGGUGAAAUUCCAAACGAACUUGGAGAUAGCUGGUUCUCUCCGAAAUAGCUUUAGGGCUAGCCUCGGAAUUAGGAUCAUGGAGGUAGAGCACUAUUUGGACUAGGGGCCCGUCUUGGGUUACUGAAUUCAGAUAAACUCCGAAUGCCAUUGAUUCAUAUCCGGGAGUCAGACGAUGAGUGAUAAGAUCCACCGUCGAAAGGGGAACAGCCCAGACCAUCAGUUAAGGUCCCUAAAUGUAUGCUAAGUGGAAAAGGAUGUGGAGUUGCAUAGACAACUAGGAUGUUGGCUCAGAAGCAGCCACCAUUUAAAGAGUGCGUAAUAGCUCACUAGUCGAGUGAUCCUGCGCCGAAAAUGUACCGGGGCUAAGCAUACUACCGAAACCAUGGAUGCGACCAWUAGGUCGCGUGAUAGGAGAGCGUUCUAAGGGCGGUGAAGCAAGAUCGUGAGGACUUGUGGAGCGCUUAGAAGUGAGAAUGCCGGUAUGAGUAGCGAAAGAUAGGUGAGAAUCCUAUCCACCGAAUGACUAAGGUUUCCUGGGGAAGGCUCGUCCUCCCAGGGUUAGUCGGGACCUAAGUCGAGGCCGAGAGGCGUAGACGAUGGAUAACAGGUUGAGAUUCCUGUACUAGUUAAGUGCGUUUGAGCAAUGGAGGGACGCAGGAGGCUAAGAUGUGCAUUCUGUUGGAUUAGAAUGUCCAAGCAGUAAGUCUUGUGARGAGUCAAAUGCUUUUCACUUUAAGGACAAGCUGUGAUGGGGAGCGAAAUUUAGUAGCGAAGCGUCUGAUGUCACACUGCCGAGAAAAGCUUCUAGUGAGUACUUAACUACCCGUACCGCAAACCGACACAGGUAGUCGAGGAGAGAAUCCUAAGGUGAGCGAGUGAACUCUCGUUAAGGAACUCGGCAAAAUGACCCCGUAACUUCGGGAGAAGGGGUGCUGAUCGCAAGAUCAGCCGCAGUGAAUAGGCCCAGGCGACUGUUUAUCAAAAACACAGGUCUCUGCAAAAUCGUAAGAUGACGUAUAGGGGCUGACGCCUGCCCGGUGCUGGAAGGUUAAAAGGAUGGGUUAGCUUCGGCGAAGCUCAGAAUUGAAGCCCCAGUAAACGGCGGCCGUAACUAUAACGGUCCUAAGGUAGCGAAAUUCCUUGUCGGGUAAGUUCCGACCCGCACGAAAGGCGUAACGAUCUGGGCACUGUCUCAACGAGAGACUCGGUGAAAUUAUAUUGUCCGUGAAGAUGCGGACUACCCGCGACAGGACGGAAAGACCCCAUGGAGCUUUACUGUAGCUUGAUAUUGAGUGUUUGUACAGCUUGUACAGGAUAGGUAGGAGCCAUAGAAACCGGAACGCUAGUUUCGGUGGAGGCGUUGGUGGGAUACUACCCUCGCUGUAUGACCACUCUAACCCGCACCACUAAUCGUGGUGGGAGACAGUGUCAGGUGGGCAGUUUGACUGGGGCGGUCGCCUCCUAAAAAGUAACGGAGGCGCCCAAAGGUUCCCUCAGAAUGRUUGGAAAUCAUUCGCAGAGUGUAAAGGCACAAGGGAGCUUGACUGCGAGACAGACAGGUCGAGCAGGGACGAAAGUCGGGCUUAGUGAUCCGGUGGUACCGUAUGGAAGGGCCAUCGCUCAACGGAUAAAAGCUACCCUGGGGAUAACAGGCUUAUCUCCCCCAAGAGUCCACAUCGACGGGGAGGUUUGGCACCUCGAUGUCGGCUCAUCGCAUCCUGGGGCUGUAGUCGGUCCCAAGGGUUGGGCUGUUCGCCCAUUAAAGCGGUACGCGAGCUGGGUUCAGAACGUCGUGAGACAGUUCGGUCCCUAUCCGUCGCGGGCGUAGGAAAUUUGAGAGGACCUGUCCUUAGUACGAGAGGACCGGGAUGGACAUACCUCUGGUGUACCAGUUGUGCCGCCAGGCGCAUCGCUGGGUAGCUACGUAUGGAUGUGAUAAACGCUGAAAGCAUCUAAGUGUGAAACACACCUCGAGAUGAGAUUUCCCAUUCCUUUAUGGAAGUAAGACCCCUGAAAGAUGAUCAGGUAGAUAGGUUAGAAGUGGCAGUGCGG